CUUUACUGUAAUCUGAAAUUGAAUUGGAGCUUUUUUUGCACAGUCUAGGUGGGAGGCGUGAAAAAUUUUCUUUCGGGAAAAUUGUAGCCAAAAAGUGAGAGACCACUCUAAAAAAGCUAUGAUUCUAAUAGCGUCCCUUGAAGCAGGGCGCUUGACAGUUUCAGACGGGCAGUUUGACUGGGGCGGUCAUCUCUUAAAAGGUAACAGAGAUGUGCAAAGGUUCCUUCAGGCUGGACGGAAAUCAGCUGUUGAGUGUAAAGGCAUAAGGGAGCUUGACUGUAAGACCUACAAGUCGAACAGAGGCGAAAGCCGGUCUUAGUGAUCCGACAGUUCCGUGUGGAAGGGCUGUCGCUAAACGGAUAAAAGUUA
Molecule: ribosomal RNA, 369 nt
Filed under: uncultured organism
Description: bacterial LSU rRNA
Rfam family: Bacterial large subunit ribosomal RNA
Source: RNAcentral